ACUCCCUGAUGUCUGACUGGAGAAGACGGAGAGACAGAGAAGUUCUCCGCUUGCCUGCUCAAGGCUUCCUUUCUGUGCUCCUGGUCCCUGUCUGAGGACCCACCUCACCCAUGCCUGUCUGAUGCCAGAAUGCCCAUCUGCUUAUUCCUUAUCCUGCAAAGCAACUGUCUCCAGGCAACCGAAUAACUUACAUACCGUGCCAGGUGCUACACAAGACGCUGGCUAUGGCAGAGAAGAGGACAGCCCAUUUUACCCCCAUGGAGGUCACGGACAAUGGGAAGAAAGCUAUUGAACAAGUCAUCAAAGAUCUGGAACAUUUCCAUUCCGUCUUCAAGCAUCCUCAACCCUCCUAUCAACUGGAAAAAGAAAACAAACAAAAACCUGGCUACUCUGAACAAACAAGCUGGUGGGAAGGCGUCGUUCAGCUCUUUCAGGCUGCAAAAACCAGAGACACAUCCAGGCUACUUCAGGAAAUGAGUUUCUUUUGUAAGGAUACACAGGGGUCGAUUUCUCAACAUCUUGCACCCAAGACUCCACACGGUGGGUGCCUGCUUCCAGAGAACCCAGUCUGUGACAGAGAGUGGAGGAGACAAGUCUUUUUGAUGAGAUUGGUUGAGAAGAGACAAAAGAAAGACAGCAUUCCUUAUGUAGUGAGUGAUACAUACUAAUGGGUGAUUUAGGAGCUGAUAUUGGAGCCAUUAUUCCCUGUCCUAAAAUGUGACCCAGCUGGAGCUGGACUCACAAGGACCCACAAGAACACAUCAACUGGGCCCUGAGGUAUAAAGACAAUAGCUAGGACAAUCUUGGAAAACAUCUUCUAGGGAAACUUUCACGUAAACAGCUCAUAAAACACAACACAAAAGACCCACAUAUUUUCCACUCUUAUCUUUUUCUAUUCGCAUUUAGUGAAUAGUAAGAUUUGUUGGA
Long non-coding RNA from Trichechus manatus latirostris (Florida manatee), 927 nucleotides. RefSeq lists it as uncharacterized. The record is from RefSeq and is a predicted model, not a curated record. The transcript has 4 exons. Lineage: Eukaryota; Metazoa; Chordata; Mammalia; Sirenia; Trichechidae.